AUGUGGGAGACCCACAUUCAAAUCCCUGCUCCACCUGAUUCGGAGCUGAACUUUUCAUCCCAAAUCGCACAGCAAGGACUUGAACCUGGGUCUCCUAGGCUCCAGCACACACACUUCCUGAAUCAAAAAGCUCAGGUUUUGACCCGAAAAACAGACAUUUUGACACAAUUCUAUGUGGAUAAAAAUGUUCCAAAUGAUCUGUUUUUGUUCCAGUAUGGAAGGAAAACAACUCUCAAAAACUUGAAAGUUGCUGCAAAAGAGAAUUGUCCUCCUCCAGCCAGCUCUGCACUGGCAUCUGCAGAACUUUGGGGGCCACCUUGGAGCUGCUCUGAGCACACCUUGGAGUUCUUCCUGAGCCCCGCAGUUCCAGCACUGGAGCCAGUGUUCUUGUCAGUCAUCUAUAUUUUCUACAGCAUGUACCUCCCCGCUUACACCUUCCCAAGAUUUGAAGCGGAGCAACUGUCUGAAUCAGAUGGAGCCCAAAGCAGCUGCAGACUUACACUAAGGAUGUCCCCCUGCUGUUUCCUAAAGCUUGGAGGGUUGAAACGGAACUACACUCAGUCAGAUGAAGCAAAGGAAGACAUUAUGCCAAAUAAAUGAACUGGUCUGGAUCAGAGUUGCUUGUGGCUGCACCUACCAUUUCAAAACCACAGACUGGAAACACAAGACUAUAACCUUCUUGAUUCUCAUCAGCCUGUUACCAGCAAUGAGAAACGUUUCAGGAAUUGUAUAUUCCUGUAAUACAACUGCCUGCAUUCCUACAAUGGCAACAUGCAAAUAUUUUUGAUGAAAAAGGACAAUUGUUUUGUAUAAAAAAUAGGUUUUAGUCAAAGAUACAAGAACAUAGGACCGGAAGGGACCCCCUCGGUCAAUGAAUCCAGUCCCCUGCUGUCACAGACGAUUGUGUCAUAUGAUCGCUCUCAUAACAUAAGCGAUAGGGCUCAGUACAGAAGUAACUGUAUGAAAUUCCAUGGCCCAUGAUGUACAGGAGGUCAGACUACAAGACGUGAUGAUGGUCCCUUCUGGCCUUAACAAUCUAGACAAGGCUCACGGAAUGUCCCUCAUUUUCUGACUAGUUCUAAUGAACUUUUAGAAAAAGAAAAGCAGAAAAAGUCAUCACCAUAUACUCAUGGCAAGUUAACUCCUCUCAGAAAUAAAGCCUGUGUAUAAGAGGAGCCA
RNAcentral lists this long non-coding RNA (1179 nucleotides) under Chrysemys picta bellii (western painted turtle). Its description in RNAcentral is "lncRNA (ENSCPBG00000024056.1)". The record is from RNAcentral. Lineage: Eukaryota; Metazoa; Chordata; Testudines; Emydidae.